RNAcentral lists this ribosomal RNA (112 nucleotides) under Nannospalax galili (Upper Galilee mountains blind mole rat). The record is from RNAcentral. Lineage: Eukaryota; Metazoa; Chordata; Mammalia; Rodentia; Spalacidae.
GCUGUACCAACCUGAAUGCAUCCAAUCUCAUCUAUCUCUGAAGCUAAGCAGGGUCAAGCCUGGUUAGUACUUGGGUGGGAGAAAGCUAGCAGAAAGCAAGCAGUAAGCAGCA